CCAGUGCCGUUUAUUUCAGGUUAAUGGCGCGACUUCUUUAAAAAGGACGGGAAAAUUGGUCCAAGAAAAAGACCAACAAAGAAGUUGUUGCCAUCAAGUUAAAACAUGAUGGAAACAAUCAAUUCUAAGUUCAAUGAAAAACAGUAAAUGAACAAUAAAAAACAUACUAGUUGAUUCUUUCAAAAGCAUCAAAAGGAAUAAGUAUUGUUGUGGAUUUGUUGAAAUUUAAGUUGACUUUAGAUGGAUUUGGCUAUUUUUUAGGUGCUUUUUGGUAAUAAAACACUUCAAAAGUUUCGGGUCUUAUACAUUUUUGGCUUUUAAAUAUUCAUCUUUGAGAGUACCUGCUGAAGGUAAAUCAAGAAAAGCGCUUCGGAAACGUGAAAUGUGUAACGUCCUUUUUUCAAUUUUUGAAGAAAGUUAGAGCCGUAACGAUUUAAAUAGGAUUGCAGAUUUUUCACUGCCAGUAUGAUCAUAAGUCGGAGAAUAUGAGUUGAACGACAUAGGUCUACAUAAAGAGUAUGAUUAGAAAAUUAACCAGACGGAGUCAUACACGUGAUGAAAAGAAAUCGAUGUAUUGAUUGCAUAUUGGUGCUAAAUGUGCAGUUAAC
This 608-nucleotide long non-coding RNA is filed under the name Mytilus galloprovincialis (Mediterranean mussel). Lineage: Eukaryota; Metazoa; Mollusca; Bivalvia; Mytilida; Mytilidae. The record is from RNAcentral.